GGAAGGGAAGAGAAAGAUCAGAAGGGACACUAAACCACAGCAGACAAGAGUUUUUCAGAAAGGUCCGUCUGAGAGCUUCACUCUUCAUCCAGCCCUUUCUGGAAGGGGAAAAGAGAGGGAGCGAGAGAGAGAAAAAUAACCCUCAGGAUGUAUGAAAAGUUAAAAGACACAAAGACACUCACAUCAAAGAUCUCAAAGCCAGCAAUGUCCAGCACACCAAUGAAGUACUGGCGGGCCUGCUUGGUGUCCAGGGAUUGGUUGAUUCUCACCACCAUCCAGUUGAACAUUUUCUCGUACACUGAUUUGGCCAGUGCACCGAUGGAGUAGUUCACCUGUGAGGAAAGAGACAAGGAGGUAUGAAGCAUUUGGAAACCAUGUGUGAUGUUCUUUUGGUAAAGCGCAGUAUUUGAUUCUGAGAGCGCCACCCAAUGGAGCUGAGAGGCCUAUCUGAUUCCAGAAUCUGGCAAUUACACUGAAACUUUUAUUCUACUGUUUGCUGAGGACAACAGCUACUAGAAUGUACAGGAAGCGGAGAAAAGGGAAGAGAAAGAACAGAAGGGGCACUAAACCACAGCAGACAAGAGUUUUUCAGAAAGGUCCGUCUGAGAGCUUCACUCUUCAUCCAGCCCUUUCUGGAAGGGGAAAAGAGAGAGAGACAGAUAGAGAGAGACAGACAGGGGAAGAAAGAGAGAAAACUGACUCAGCUCCAGCAUAGUUGGCAAAGAGGGUGGCGAGAAGCUUGAGGGAAGACUUCUGAUAGAGCCCGACCACAGUCUCAUUCAGAGGGUCCUUGUUCUUCACCAGCCAGUUUGUGAUGUUGUAAUCUACAGUGCC
Molecule: long non-coding RNA, 834 nt
Organism: Acipenser ruthenus (sterlet)
Lineage: Eukaryota; Metazoa; Chordata; Actinopteri; Acipenseriformes; Acipenseridae
Exons: 6
Source: RefSeq, a predicted model, not a curated record